Molecule: ribosomal RNA, 480 nt
Filed under: uncultured bacterium
Lineage: Bacteria
Description: partial 16S ribosomal RNA
Rfam family: Bacterial small subunit ribosomal RNA
Source: RNAcentral
AUUGAACGCUGGCGGCAUGCUUUACACAUGCAAGUCGAACGGUAACAGGCCGCAAGGUGCUGACGAGUGGCGAACGGGUGAGUAAUGCAUCGGAACGUGCCCAGUCGUGGGGGAUAACUACUCGAAAGAGUAGCUAAUACCGCAUACGAUCUAUGGAUGAAAGCGGGGGACCGUAAGGCUUCGCGCGAUUGGAGCGGCCGAUGUCAGAUUAGGUAGUUGGUGGGUAAAGGCUCACCAAGCCAACGAUCUGUAGCUGGUCUGAGAGGACGACCAGCCACACUGGGACUGAGACACGGCCCAGGCUCCUACGGGAGGCAGCAGUGGGGAAUUUUGGACAAUGGGCGCAAGCCUGAUCCAGCAAUGCCGCGUGCAGGAAGAAGGCCUUCGGGUUGUAAACUGCUUUUGUACGGAACGAAACGGCUCUGGUUAAUACCCGGGGCUAAUGACGGUACCGUAAGAAUAAGCACCGGCUAACUACGU